UGGCUCAAUGGUAGAGUGCUUGCCUUGCAUGCAUGAGGCCUUGGGUUCGAUUCCUCA
Molecule: transfer RNA, 57 nt
Filed under: Dipodomys ordii (Ord's kangaroo rat)
Lineage: Eukaryota; Metazoa; Chordata; Mammalia; Rodentia; Heteromyidae
Rfam family: tRNA
About the family: Transfer RNA (tRNA) molecules are approximately 80 nucleotides in length.
Source: Rfam by way of RNAcentral